UUGGCCUAGCUGAUAGGGCAAGACUUAGCUAGGCAGAGAAGAUAGAACUGAAUGCUGGGAGGAAGAAAGCAGAGGAAAGACACCAGAGUCAGACAUGCUGAAUUUUUCCCGGGGGAGAAAACUGGAUCUCUAAAGUGUUAAAGAGCAUCCCCCAGGAAGCAUCAGAACCCACAUCAGAACUGAAGCCAGGAUGGAGCAUUAGGUGCGACAUACCCUGCUGUCUUCGUAUCCGCCGUGUGGACUCCACCUCUGAUCUUCUCCGGUGUGAAGGUUAUCUCUGUUGAGCCGAUUUCUGCCCCCUCCAAUUGCCCAUCACACAAAUCGCGAACCAUUUCCAGUCCAGAUAAAUGCUGAGGCCUUCAGGUCAUAAUACUGCAUCAAAACGUGCGCAAUCAGACUGCCUAUAAUACCCUACUCUACGGAACCGCUACAAAAGCAAUGGCCAGAAAGCAAGUGCCGUGUCUUCAAUGGCAGAGCUUCAACUGGGGUUUUUAACGCACUUAGAUUCACUGCUUAUAGGCAACUUCUUAAAGGUUUCAAGACUGGUUAUUUAGGCUACAAACACACACCGAGGAACUGUUACAAAUUCCAAGUGUGCACAAAAGGAAAAAUAGAACUACCUACGUGCUACCAGCCGUGCUUGCUUUCUACUAAAUAACUAACCCAUGACACCUCUCAUCCCCUAAAUUCUAUGUUGAGGCCUCAGCCCACACAAAAUAGGAUUGUUUAAAUAAGACCCUUUAAAGCUACAAUUAAAUUAAAGACAAG
Molecule: long non-coding RNA, 768 nt
Organism: Myodes glareolus (Bank vole)
Lineage: Eukaryota; Metazoa; Chordata; Mammalia; Rodentia; Cricetidae
Source: RefSeq, a predicted model, not a curated record